RNAcentral lists this ribosomal RNA (531 nucleotides) under bacterium het-d-12. RNAcentral describes it as "bacterial SSU rRNA". It matches the Rfam family "Bacterial small subunit ribosomal RNA", at positions 54 to 572 of the family's 1533-position model. The record is from RNAcentral.
CAUGCAGUCGAGCGGACCUUUGGAGCUUGCUCCAUUGGUUUAGCGGCGGACGGGUGAGUAACACGUGGGCAACCUGCCCUGCAGAUCGGGAUAACUCCGGGAAACCGGUGCUAAUACCGAAUAGUUUUUUGCCCCUCCUGGGGCGAAACGGAAAGACGGUUUCGGCUGUCACUGCAGGAUGGGCCCGCGGCGCAUUAGCUAGUUGGUGGGGUAAUGGCCCACCAAGGCGACGAUGCGUAGCCGACCUGAGAGGGUGAUCGGCCACACUGGGACUGAGACACGGCCCAGACUCCUACGGGAGGCAGCAGUAGGGAAUCUUCCGCAAUGGACGCAAGUCUGACGGAGCAACGCCGCGUGAGUGACGAAGGUUUUCGGAUCGUAAACUCUGUUGUGAGGGAAGAACAAGUACCAAGUAACUACUGGUACCUUGACGGUACCUCACCAGAAAGCCACGGCUAACUACGUGCCAGCAGCCGCGGUAAUACGUAGGUGGCAAGCGUUGUCCGGAAUUAUUGGGCGUAAAGCGCGCGC